RNAcentral lists this ribosomal RNA (465 nucleotides) under uncultured bacterium. Its description in RNAcentral is "partial 16S ribosomal RNA". It matches the Rfam family "Bacterial small subunit ribosomal RNA", at positions 28 to 507 of the family's 1533-position model. The record is from RNAcentral.
GACGAACGCUGGCGGCGUGCUUAACACAUGCAAGUCGAACGGAAAGGCCCUGCUUGCCGGGUACUCGAGUGGCGAACGGGUGAGUAACACGUGGGUGAUCUGCCCUGCACUUCGGGAUAAGCCUGGGAAACUGGGUCUAAUACCGGAUAGGAGCCAUUUUUAGUGUGAUGGUUGGAAAGUUUUUUCGGUGUAGGAUGAGCUCGCGGCCUAUCAGCUUGUUGGCGGGGUAAUGGCCUACCAAGGCGGCGACGGGUAGCCGGCCUGAGAGGGUGGACGGCCACAUUGGGACUGAGAUACGGCCCAGACUCCUACGGGAGGCAGCAGUGGGGAAUAUUGCACAAUGGGCGCAAGCCUGAUGCAGCGACGCCGCGGGGGGGAUGACGGCCUUCGGGUUGUAAACGCCUUUCGCUAGGGACGAAGCUUUUUGUGACGGUACCUAGAUAAGAAGCACCGGCUAACUACGUG